GUACGCCAGAGAAGCAGCACAGCCAACACUGCCAAGAGAUGCAGAUGGUGGCACUGCCGGUUCUUCUUCCGCAAAUCCACCGACACUAAGGCGCCCAUCACAGGGCUCGGUUACUGUGGCAACGAGGCCACCCAAGAGACGCCGUCUUGAGGCUCCAGCACCAGCAUCACCACCCCAACGGCGCAUCUCCGCAGUGUCGGCCGUGCCACCACUAGCUCUAUUGGCCAGCCCCCAAAGUGAGGAUCCACAAUCCCCUCAGUUGUCUGACCCAGGCAUCAUCACCGAGGAUGCCCAGCAGGAACGUGACCAGGAGACCUUCACACUCCACCUGCAGCCCAUCGAUCCGACUCAGACAACCACGCCGCAGGACAUACCCCAACCACCCCACAGCCCCCAAUUAAGCACAACACAAGUUGACACACAAAUGGGCCCUGAGUUUUGGAGCCGUUGGUCGUCACAACAGGCGCAAUACUGCGCAAACCUCAACACCCACAGCCAAUACCUGGCAAGUCUGCCCCAUCAUUUGCCUAGACUGAGUCGCAACUCAGGCAGACUUAUAGUGCAGGUGGGCCGAAUCGCUAACUCCAUGGAACAGAUGAGGGCAGACAACACCCAAAUGCAGUCAAACCUCCAACGCAUCUUGGAUGAUCAGCAGCGGCAGCAACAAUCACUUAUACAGAUAAUACAACACAACCAAAUGAUCAACGACAACCUCUCACGCAUGAUAGCUAACAACACUGCCGCUAACACUCAGCUCACAGCAAGCUUGAACAAUCUAAGCCAAAGCCUUAGUGUGUUGGCAUCACACCAUGCCACAUCUAGUUCUGGGACAACGACACCAAGCCACACCCCAGUUCAUUCCCCAGUCCGACGCUCAAGUCGAACCCGCACCAAUGAUCCAGCACAAUCCUCAGCACCCAGCACACAAAAAAAAACAUUAAUAAUGUUCGGUCAGAAUAUAUUGACCAUUACAGUGUUUUUUCUUUUAG
Molecule: long non-coding RNA, 989 nt
Organism: Pseudophryne corroboree (corroboree frog)
Lineage: Eukaryota; Metazoa; Chordata; Amphibia; Anura; Myobatrachidae
Exons: 3
Source: RefSeq, a predicted model, not a curated record